Molecule: transfer RNA, 74 nt
Filed under: Candidatus Pacearchaeota archaeon
Lineage: Archaea; Nanobdellati
Also listed under: 1 other name
Description: tRNA-Lys
Rfam family: tRNA
About the family: Transfer RNA (tRNA) molecules are approximately 80 nucleotides in length. Their secondary structure includes four short double-helical elements and three loops (D, anti-codon, and T loops). Further hydrogen bonds mediate the characteristic L-shaped molecular structure. tRNAs have two regions of fundamental functional importance: the anti-codon, which is responsible for specific mRNA codon recognition, and the 3' end, to which the tRNAs corresponding amino acid is attached (by aminoacyl-tRNA synthetases). tRNAs cope with the degeneracy of the genetic code in two manners: having more than one tRNA (with a specific anti-codon) for a particular amino acid; and 'wobble' base-pairing, i.e. permitting non-standard base-pairing at the 3rd anti-codon position.
Source: RNAcentral
GCCUCCAUAGCUCAAUGGUAGAGCAGUGGCCUUUUAAGCCAUUGACGAGGGUCCGAUUCCUUCUGGAGGCACCA